GACGAACCGUGCGAACGUUAUUCGGAAUCAUUGGGCUUAAAGCGCGUGUAGGCGGGUUCGUGCGUCCGACGCUGAAAUCCCCCGGCUCAACCGGGGAACGGGCGGGGAUACGACGAGCCUGGAGGGGCGUAGGGGGACCUGGAACUUCCGGUGGAGCGGUGAAAUGCGUUGAGAUCGGAAGGAACGCCCGUGGCGAAAGCGAGGUCCUGGACGCCUACUGACGCUGAGACGCGAAAGCCAGGGGAGCGAA
This 250-nucleotide ribosomal RNA is filed under the name uncultured bacterium. Its description in RNAcentral is "partial 16S ribosomal RNA". It matches the Rfam family "Bacterial small subunit ribosomal RNA", at positions 524 to 772 of the family's 1533-position model. The record is from RNAcentral.